GAAGUGAAAAAUCUUUGUUGGCCCAACAAGCCUUGCAGCAAAAAACGCGUGUACGCAUGCGCCUGAGAGAAACCGUUGGUGUAGUGAAUUCAAAUUCCUGUGCUCGAGAGAGCGGAGCCGAUGCUGAGGAGCGACAAAAAAUCAUUUCCGGACGGAUUUUCCAUCAUUAAAGUUAUGUGUAACCCACCAUUGCUAGGUCUGAGCUUACGAGGCACCAUUUAGUCUGAAGUCAGAAGUGUAAAAAGGGAACAACUAUGAAUUUCACAAGCCGUUGGAGAACCACACAACUACAAUGAAAAUUGGAAUAGUAAGCAUCAGCAGUUGCACUUCAAGAGCCCUGUCAAGUGUGCUAAAUGUCUCCGUUGUCCUGGAAGAGGAGGUGGUGCUCCUCUUAGGAGACUUUGUAAAUGUAUUUAUUGUACUAUUUGGAUUAUUGUGUGCACUCAACAUGGAGUACAACAAGGAUUUAAAAGGUUAGUUCACCCAAAAAUGAAAAUUGUCGUUAAUUACUCACCCUCACGUCGUACCCAAACCCGUAAGACCUUCAGUCAU
This is a long non-coding RNA of Onychostoma macrolepis, 552 nucleotides long. RefSeq lists it as uncharacterized. The transcript is spliced from 3 exons. NCBI's taxonomy places the organism in Eukaryota, Metazoa, Chordata, Actinopteri, Cypriniformes, Cyprinidae. The record is from RefSeq and is a predicted model, not a curated record.